RNAcentral lists this ribosomal RNA (515 nucleotides) under uncultured bacterium. Its description in RNAcentral is "partial 16S ribosomal RNA". It matches the Rfam family "Bacterial small subunit ribosomal RNA", at positions 28 to 523 of the family's 1533-position model. The record is from RNAcentral.
GAUGAACGCUGGCGGCGUGCCUAAUACAUGCAAGUCGAGCGAAUGGAUUAAGAGCUUGCUCUUAUGAAGUUAGCGGCGGACGGGUGAGUAACACGUGGGUAACCUGCCCAUAAGACUGGGAUAACUCCGGGAAACCGGGGCUAAUACCGGAUAACAUUUUGAACCGCAUGGUUCGAAAUUGAAAGGCGGCUUCGGCUGUCACUUAUGGAUGGACCCGCGUCGCAUUAGCUAGUUGGUGAGGUAACGGCUCACCAAGGCAACGAUGCGUAGCCGACCUGAGAGGGUGAUCGGCCACACUGGGACUGAGACACGGCCCAGACUCCUACGGGAGGCAGCAGUAGGGAAUCUUCCGCAAUGGACGAAAGUCUGACGGAGCAACGCCGCGUGAGUGAUGAAGGCUUUCGGGUCGUAAAACUCUGUUGUUAGGGAAGAACAAGUGCUAGUUGAAUAAGCUGACACCUUGACGGUACCUAACCAGAAAGCCACGGCUAACUACGUGCCAGCCGCCGCCGUAA